GAUGAACGCUGGCGGCGUGCUUGAUACAUGCAAGUCGAACGGAGAGUGUAGCAAUAUACUUUUAGUGGCGAACGGGUGAGUAACGCGUUGGUGACCUGCCCCGAAGCGAGGGAUAACAGUUCGAAAGAACUGCUAAUACCUCAUGUGAUCACCGGUUUUAGAAUCUGGUGAUUAAAGGUGAAAAUCACUUCGGGAGGGGCCUGCGUCCCAUCAGCUAGUUGGUAAGGUAAUGGCUUACCAAGGCGAUGACGGGUAGGGGACCUGAGAGGGUGGCCCCCCACAAUGGAACUGAAACACGGUCCAUACACCUACGGGUGGCAGCAGUAGGGAAUAUUGCAAAUGGGCGAAAGCCUGAUGUAGCAACGCCGCGUGUGCGAUGAAGGUCUUCGGAUUGUAAAGCACUUUUUGGAGGGAUGAGGAAGGACAGUACCUCCAGAAUAAGCCUCGGCUAACUACGUGCCAGCAGCCGCGGUAAACUGUCUACG
RNAcentral lists this ribosomal RNA (485 nucleotides) under uncultured bacterium. RNAcentral's name for it is "bacterial SSU rRNA". It matches the Rfam family "Bacterial small subunit ribosomal RNA", at positions 28 to 531 of the family's 1533-position model. The record is from RNAcentral.